This 114-nucleotide ribosomal RNA is filed under the name Cociella crocodilus (crocodile flathead). RNAcentral describes it as "partial 16S ribosomal RNA". Lineage: Eukaryota; Metazoa; Chordata; Actinopteri; Perciformes; Platycephalidae. The record is from RNAcentral.
CGCCUAACAACUAGCCUACACAGCCAACAACAACAAAAACCUUUUAAUACCCCCAAAAGCACCUACCAUAAUCAACCAAACCAUUUUUUCUCCUAAGUAUUAGUGACAGAAAAG